AAUUAACUGACCUGUGUUUUGGGAGUAUCAUCCUGAAGACAGUCAUGUUAGUAGCAUGGAAAAAGGUUCAGGGUCAGAUCUGUGUUUGAAGAUCAGUUUUCUUACUAGUUUUGUGACCCUGAGAACAUGACUUUACCUCUCUAAUCUUUAAAUGAAAGAUGCGUUCUCUUCCCAUACCCCAUCAUUGGGAUUUCAUAGCUGAAAUGUUCUAUUGUAUUUUGUGUCUAUUGCCUAGACUGUACCCAAAGUCAACAGUGUAACUGCUUUUGCCCAUGAAUCUGCAUGAGCAGGGUUGGGGGGAUGGGACAGACAGCUGGACCUGUCAGUGGGGGCAACCUGAGCAUUACUGGAAGUGGAUUCUUCAGCCCUGGUCACAUGGCUGGUGAGUUGAUACAGGUUAUUCAUUUUUCAGAUGCCUGAGGGGAAGCUUGGGCUUCCUCACAGCAUGGCAGUGGUGUUCUCAGAACAGAUUUCCCAAAAGAUGAGUGUCAGGUGGAAGCUGUAUCACCUUUUAUGAUCAACCUUGGAAGACAAUGCUGUUGUGAACUGAACGCAAGCCCGGGAGUCUUGUCCAGCGAGAGGGUCCCAAACCUGGAAGAGAACAUGCGCAGGAAAAAAAGAAAAAGACAGGGGUCUGGAGGACUGAUUAGGCUAUGCCCAAAACAGCAAUUUUAUUUGUGCAGUAUAGGUCAGAAGAGGAUUAUUCCGGCCCAAGAAACCGUUGGUCUGAGGGUAUACUCACAGGACUGUUGGAGAGCUAUGUUCUUCCUGGUGAGUGGAGACCCUUUUGUUGGUUGCUCUUUAGGUGUUCGGUAACCAAAAGAACUGUUGGUUCUCUUGGCAUAGGCUCCUUAGGAUCCAUGCUGCUGCCUGAGGGCGAAGAAUGUUACCCAUUACUGUCAGCACUAGCUUCCCCACAAAAAGGAUACCAAGCUGGUAAAUGAAAACUUGGUUCUCCUGGCAUCUUUGUCUCUUCAUAAGAACUUGUUGAAAUGGUCCUCGACUGCACCCCUGCACCAUGCUUUUCCUCUGGGGAUUCAAUGGGCUUUACUGGCUGCUUCAUGAAUAAGACAGAUGAGGAGAGUCCAGGUCCACCCUGGAAAUCUUUAGAUAGGACCGUAUCAAGGGGACACAUAACAGCAAAGCUGGAAGAUUGAGACAUUGACAGAGCCAGGUUGAGACACCAUGAAUUUGUUCUUUGGAGCUAGAACUUAGAACUGGCUUCAGUCCUGACCAUGUCUAGAGGUACGAGUCCCUAUGAGUGAAGGAUAAGAAAGUGACGAGUAUGGUAGCACAUCUGUCCUUACAGGGAUCCUCAUAGGCCAAGGAUUCUGGAUUUGAACAAGUCAGUCUCCAACUAUGGUUUAGAGGCUGAGGACUGUGACCAUCAUCCCCCCUUAGAGCUUCUUUCUGGGCCACUGGCUCAAAGGGCCCCUCUCAGGGGAAAAAGGACAGUGUGAUUCCCUUAUUUUGUUGUGGAAAGGCCUCAGUAGCCGAAGGUGUUUGCCUGAGUUAUUGGUCUGAAUGGGAUCUUCUCUAGGACAGCUAGGUGCAUAGCACAUUGAGUUACUCUGCAUGCUUAUAGUACCUGCUUAUGAACAGAAACAGAGGCAAAAUUAAUAUGAAA
Callithrix jacchus (white-tufted-ear marmoset) is the source of this 1627-nucleotide long non-coding RNA. The record is from Ensembl. NCBI's taxonomy places the organism in Eukaryota, Metazoa, Chordata, Mammalia, Primates, Cebidae.